Molecule: ribosomal RNA, 504 nt
Filed under: uncultured archaeon
Lineage: Archaea
Description: bacterial SSU rRNA
Rfam family: Archaeal small subunit ribosomal RNA
Source: RNAcentral
AGUCGUGUGUCUCCAAGCCAUGGUGGAGACGCGGCACACAGCUCAGUAACACGUGGCUAACCUGCCCUUGGGACAGGGACAACCCCGGGAAACUGGGGCUAAUCCCUGAUAGGUGAGGAUUCCUGGAAUGGGUUCUCGCAGAAAGGGCAUCUAGAUCAUGCUUCUAGGUGUUGCCCAAGGAUGGAGCCGCGGCCGAUCAGGUUGUUGGUGAGGUAACGGCUCACCAAGCCUUUAACCGGUACGGGCCGUGAGAGCGGGAGCCCGGAGAUGGGUACUGAGACAAAGACCCAGGCCCUACGGGGCGCAGCAGUCGCGAAAACUCCGCAAUACGCGAAAGCGUGACGGGGCUAUCCCGAGUGCCGUCCGCUGAGGACGGCUUUUCCCCAGUGUAUAAAGCUGGGGGAAUAAGGAGAGGGCAAGACUGGUGUCAGCCGCCGCGGUAAUACCAGCUCUCCGAGUGGUGGGGAUGCUUAUUGGGCCUAAAGCAUUCGUAGCCGGUUGGGC